Humulus lupulus (European hop) is the source of this 758-nucleotide long non-coding RNA. RefSeq lists it as uncharacterized. NCBI's taxonomy places the organism in Eukaryota, Viridiplantae, Streptophyta, Magnoliopsida, Rosales, Cannabaceae. The record is from RefSeq and is a predicted model, not a curated record. The transcript has 4 exons.
GCUUGUAACAAUGCUGAAGCUGUUGUGGAGUCUAUUCCUUCUGUAGAAUUUUCAGUGAAUGAUGUUGAGAAAUCUAUCAAGUCCACUGUUUGUAGAGAGAAUGGUGAACAGUUAAGGAACUCAAUGCAAAAUGAGAAUGGAUUUCUUCCAAGUUUGAUGCCUUCAAAUGCUAAAAAGGAUCAUGAGGGGAGAAAUGUUGCCGAGAUUAAAGACACCUCUGGUGCUGCAAAUGAUUGGAGACAAUGUGGAUAUGAUGGGUUGCAAGGACACAAGAAUGAUGAUGAAAAAGUUUUAGAGUUUUCUCAGGAAGAAAGUGUAUGCUAAGAUAAAUUUGUUUACUCUUCAUAAUAAGUGUAUCACUUUAUCUAUGUUGGAUUAACAAUUUUCAACUUCUUUUUUUUUUUUUUGUAGGCUACAAAAGAUUUAGGCUCAAGUUCAACCUGUAAGUCAAUAUCCAUGUCACUUGUCUUAUUAUUUAAAAUGAUUUGAUAUUUAGAAGUAGCUUAAUCUCUGUGAUAUUUAUAAGGAAGGAUUCUCUGUGAGGAUAAUAUUAAUUGGAAAGCCUCUAUUUUGACAUGGACUUCCUAUGUUAAGAUUAUCAAUUAGUGAAGGAGUGAGAUCAAAGAAACUUGACGUUGAACAUUUUCCUAUUUAUUUUUUUUCACCGUGUUAACCAAAUAACUUAUUAAGGACCUGAUUUAAAACUAGCAUCCUUGGCAACAGUUGAUUGAUCUAUUUUUUGAGUGCUUGGUCUACAC